CAUACCUAUUCGAAGGGAUAGGGUCGGUUUGGCCGGAUUUCACACAGGUGUUGCAUGGCUGUCGUCAGCUCGUGUCGUGAGAUGUUGGGUUAAGUCCCGCAACGAGCGCAACCCUCAUCCUUAGUUACCAUCAGGUUAUGCUGGGGACUUUAAGGAAACUGCCAGUGAUAAACUGGAGGAAGGUGGGGAUGAUGUCAAGUCAUCAUGGCCCUUAUGGAGGGGGCUACACACGUGCUACAAUGGUGAUUACAAUGGGCUGCAAGGUCGCAAGGCUGAGCUAAUCCUAAAAAAUCAUCUCAGUUCGGAUUGUUCUCUGCAACUCGAGAGCAUGAAGUUGGAAUCGCUAGUAAUCGUGGAUCAGCAUGCCACGGUGAAUACGUUCUCGGGUCUUGUACACACUGCCCGUCACGCCAUGGGAAUUGGUUUCACUCGAAGCU
This 437-nucleotide ribosomal RNA is filed under the name Wolbachia endosymbiont of Aphis gossypii. RNAcentral describes it as "bacterial SSU rRNA". It matches the Rfam family "Bacterial small subunit ribosomal RNA", at positions 992 to 1428 of the family's 1533-position model. Lineage: Bacteria; Pseudomonadati; Pseudomonadota; Alphaproteobacteria; Rickettsiales; Anaplasmataceae. The record is from RNAcentral.